This is a long non-coding RNA of Ictalurus punctatus (channel catfish), 526 nucleotides long. RefSeq lists it as uncharacterized. Lineage: Eukaryota; Metazoa; Chordata; Actinopteri; Siluriformes; Ictaluridae. The record is from RefSeq and is a predicted model, not a curated record. The transcript is spliced from 5 exons.
CACCAUGGAAACCCAGGGUGAGAAAAGAGAGUUGGCUUGGAAAAAAGUAAUGCAUCAAGAAGAAGGCAGAGGCCCGUAAAAUGGCUGGGGGACCAUCAACACCUUCUCUCACUCCGGCUGAGGAGCUGCCACGGUCCCCUAAACCAGGGGGCAGUUCUGGGGGUAGUUCCAGAGGGCAGUUCAUCAGAGUCAGUUACCUCCCAUGAUAUAAGUGGCUUGGUAAAAUGAUGAAGAUGAAGAGACCAGCUCUACUGUGACAAAGGUACAAAAUGAAGAUGCUGGGACCCCCACAGAGCUGCCUGAAAAGGAGCUGUAUAAGGUUCAUCUUCAAAUGCAAAUUAGAAAAAGUGACCUGGAGAUGGACCUUCUGCAACUUCAAAUGGAGGGAAAAAAGGUGAACAUAAAAAAGGCCAGGCUUGAAACUGAACUGCUGAAGCACUGUCUAACAUUAAGCAAAGUAUUUGCCUAGUGAUGAUAGCCAUUUAUUGCUGAAUGAUAAAGUAAUAAAUACAAAAGUCUUUUUCAA